This 92-nucleotide non-coding RNA is filed under the name bovine gut metagenome. The record is from RNAcentral.
GCGGGGAGCUUGUGUGACAGGCUGAGAGGAAGGAUAGAAACCUUCGACCCAUAACCUGAUUUGGAUAAUGCCAACGUAGGGAUGCCUGAAUA